CUGGUUAAAGGGCACUGGACAAUUACAGGGGCCACUUCAUAGACUCUCAGUGCUUCUGGCUUUAAUAUUCUCUGCUAGAUUCACAGAACUCUUUUACAGAUGCUCAGCAUUCAAUCCUGAAGGCUCCACUUCAUCAUCAGAAUUGGGUGGACAGAAUCUCAUAUUCUGCUUUCAUACUCUGCCCUCAGUCAGAAUAUGAGCCAUUGGAGUAGGAAGAAGGCAUGGAUUACUGAAUGCUUCCAUCACCAUCAAUUGAAUAGUGCUCAUCAAGCUGCCCUUUGACAACCUACAUCUCACAUGGACAAAAAAGUGUCAUUUUCAUGUCUUCCCUAGCUUCACCCAACUCUGUUUGUAAACAACCUGUGGAAAUGAAGAGCAGAAA
Long non-coding RNA from Erinaceus europaeus (western European hedgehog), 382 nucleotides. RefSeq lists it as uncharacterized. Lineage: Eukaryota; Metazoa; Chordata; Mammalia; Eulipotyphla; Erinaceidae. The transcript is spliced from 3 exons. The record is from RefSeq and is a predicted model, not a curated record.